Molecule: long non-coding RNA, 1036 nt
Filed under: Pollicipes pollicipes
Lineage: Eukaryota; Metazoa; Arthropoda; Thecostraca; Pollicipedomorpha; Pollicipedidae
Description: uncharacterized LOC119099145
Source: RNAcentral
GUGGGAGGGUCGGGGUGGAUCCAGCAGGGUCGGGCAGACGUUUCCCCCACUUGUUUCUAUGAGAAACAAAUAGGUACACACAGGGCUCCAACAAGAGGGCAUGGCCAGGAACAGAAAUGACUCCAGUGGAAGUGGAGGUGGACAUUUUGUCCCUAUUGAUUCAUACAGGAAGCAAAUAGGAAGGCAGAACUCCAAGAAUGCAAGAGAAGACAUCAAGCGUGCAAAAUUGUCACACCAGAAAAAAGAAAAUGCUACUCAAACAUAUAAGGACGUCUUUUCGAUGGUGUUCGGCCUGUUCAUCAUGGUGGUAUCGGUUUAUGCGCUAUUCUACGCUCUUCUUUCCAAGUAAAAUUUGGUUGCGUGGUGUCUGCUUUGGCGGCUCGGGAAAUGCAUGGAGUUUGUGCAACGCCCAUGAAAAGCGGGUUUUGGUCAGUUUGUUGUUUCUUGGCGGUUCAGAGAUGGGGCGUUUUGAAGGUGUUGCUUGUUCGCGGACCGAUGGUGGGAUGAUUCCCUGUGCUACAAAAAUAGAAGGUAUGUGGAUGGAAUGUCCACCAGAUGCGUGUGUCUGAUGUCUAAUGCCCAAUAGGCAUCAAACUGGCUAAAUAUCGACUGUGAUGCUAACGAGCCUAUGCCAGCUUGUAAAUCCAUCAGCCUCCUGAGCGUGGGGCAAUAUUGUAACAGGCUAGUACAACAUUGGGUCCAUUGAUGUGUGUGCACUUGCGCACUGGUCUCAAUGUCAAGUCUUUUUGAAUGUUUGUGUACCUGUGCAUUGGCUUAUUUUCUACUGGUUAUGAUUAGUGAAAUUACAAGGGGCUGUUUGGUUUGCUUGCUUAAACAAGCGCUCCGAAGAAUGUAGUCAUUGACCCAAGCUUGUCGGAGCAAACAUUGUAUCUAACUACUCAUUGUGACAUUAAUGUUAUCGCAGAUCUUGUAAACUUUGUAGAGGGGCAUUCCGCUAUGGGGUAAUUAAUUUUGUGAUAUUUUGGUUUAUGCUGUGUUGCUGUUCUUAUGCGACUGACUUCCGCUCAUCUGUGCA